Molecule: ribosomal RNA, 702 nt
Filed under: Gryganskiella fimbricystis
Lineage: Eukaryota; Fungi; Mortierellomycota; Mortierellomycetes; Mortierellales; Mortierellaceae
Description: eukaryotic LSU rRNA
Rfam family: Eukaryotic large subunit ribosomal RNA
Source: RNAcentral
AGUGAAGCGGGAUGAAGCUCAAAUUUAAAAUCUGGCUGGUUUACCAGUCCGAGUUGUAGUUUAAAGAAGCGUUUUCGGUGGCAGUCUCGGUAUAAAUCCUUUGGAAUAGGGUAUCAUAGAGGGUGAGAAUCCCGUCUUUGACUGAGAAUAUGCUACUAUGUGAUACGUUUUCAAAGAGUCGAGUUGUUUGGGAAUGCAGCUCAAAAUGGGUGGUAAAUUUCAUCUAAAGCUAAAUAUUGGCGAGAGACCGAUAGCGAACAAGUACCGUGAGGGAAAGAUGAAAAGAACUUUGAAAAGAGAGUUAAACAGUGCGUGAAAUUGUUGAAAGGGAAACGCUUGAAACCAGUCAUGCGGUUGGGAAAUCAGUCUCUGACGGGGGGGAAUGGGGGAGGUGUGGACCGCAAGGCCGCUCUUUCUUAUAUCUUUCUCGGCAGGGAUGCACUUUUUCUUCUGCAGGUCAACAUCAGUUUGCUUUGCCGGACAAAACUCUUGGGAAGGUGACAGCUUAGGCUGUGUUAUAGCCCUUGAGCGAUACGGUGGAGCGGACUGAGGUUUUCGCAGCAUGUGCUCUCGGGCAAGGCUGAUUGGGUGCUAUGAGAUCGUUCAGGGUACAAUACAUGUAUUUUGCCUUGUGUCUUUUUUAUACUCGCUCAACUCGGCUCUUCCAUGCUUAGGAUGUUGACAUAAUGGUUUUAAUCGACC